UAUGCCCCCUGAUGCGUUACAACUCAACUGAGUGUUGCAGCUGUGUCAUAAGGUGGCAGAGAGAGAACAGUGGUAGUCUGCACUGAGACU
This is a small nucleolar RNA of Scomber scombrus (Atlantic mackerel), 90 nucleotides long. RefSeq annotates it as small nucleolar RNA SNORA17. The record is from RefSeq and is a predicted model, not a curated record. The transcript has a single exon. NCBI's taxonomy places the organism in Eukaryota, Metazoa, Chordata, Actinopteri, Scombriformes, Scombridae.